GAUCAUGGCUCAGGACGAACGCUGGCGGCGUGCUUAACACAUGCAAGUCGAACGAGAAUCUAUGGAACAAGGAUUCGUCCAAGUGAAAUAGAGGACAGUGGCGGACGGGUGAGUAACGCGUGAGGAACCUGCCUUUCAGAGGGGGACAACAGUUGGAAACGACUGCUAAUACCGCAUGACAUAUAGAUGUCGCAUGGCAUUUAUAUCAAAGAUUUAUCGCUGAAAGAUGG
This 230-nucleotide ribosomal RNA is filed under the name uncultured bacterium. RNAcentral describes it as "partial 16S ribosomal RNA". It matches the Rfam family "Bacterial small subunit ribosomal RNA", at positions 15 to 228 of the family's 1533-position model. The record is from RNAcentral.